UCGACUCGACGUCCCGGAACAGUUUCCGCCCCAUCAGCUUUGAUGGUUGGGUAUUGGCCUACCAUUGCAACAACGGGUAACGAGGAAUUAGGGUUUGAUUUCGGAGAGGGAGCCUGAGAAACGGCUACCACAUCUACGGAUGGCAGCAGGCGCGCAAAUUACCCAACGCAGACACUGUGAGCUAGUGACGAGAAAUAAUAAAGCGGGACUUAUGUUCCGCUAUUAUAAUGAGGAAUAACCAAAGGUCAUUCCGAUUAGCAACUGAUGGGAAAGAUGAAAGUUACCUAUAAUCAGCAGUCGGCGUCUUAAGGGAUAGUCUCUUGUAAUUGUGGGACUCCAACUAGGAAUGUCUCGUAAGCACAAGUCAACAUCUUGUGUUGAUUACGUCCCUGCUCUUUGUACACACCGCCCGUCGCUCCUACCGAUCGAGUGUUUAGGUGAAUUUGAUGGACGUAAGGAAGUCAAAUAAACCUGAGCACUAGAGAAGAGAGUCGAUCAUC
RNAcentral lists this ribosomal RNA (500 nucleotides) under uncultured Myrionecta. RNAcentral describes it as "partial 18S ribosomal RNA". It matches the Rfam family "Eukaryotic small subunit ribosomal RNA", at positions 269 to 1823 of the family's 1831-position model. Lineage: Eukaryota; Ciliophora; Litostomatea; Cyclotrichida; Mesodiniidae. The record is from RNAcentral.